This 1122-nucleotide long non-coding RNA is filed under the name Jatropha curcas. RNAcentral describes it as "long non-coding RNA (JCUR_LNC001551)". Lineage: Eukaryota; Viridiplantae; Streptophyta; Magnoliopsida; Malpighiales; Euphorbiaceae. The record is from RNAcentral.
UUGUGUUGACCUUGGAUCCAAAUUGAGAUUUUAUUGCUUAAUCAAUCUAAAAUCCCCUUAGAUAAAUCAAAAGUUCUGAAAAACACAUACUCUAAUCAUGAAUCUCAGAUUAUUGGAUUAAGAACCAAGUGUUUUGGAUUUCUUCAUCCAUUUUUGAUCAAAUCUUCAAAGGUAAUUUCCGAGAACCUUAAUCCUAUUCCUAUAUUUUUUUUCUUUCUUUUUUUGGUGUUUUGAACACCUCUUUUGGGUCUGAUUGAGAGAGAAACUGAGAAUCGACCGUAAAGGGACUCUGUGCCGCUGUGGCGCAUUGCCUCAGCCAGUGGUGUGUGCCACAGGCCUGUGGCUCGUGCCACAUGAGCCCAAAUGUCUUGUUUUUGCCCUGUUCAUUCCAGGAUCCUUCCUAAUCCAGGAAAGGCCCUGCGCCACUACAUGUGUCGAGUGCUAUAAGCUUGUGGCGCAUGCCAUAACUCCCUGUGACGUAAGACCCUUUAAUUCAGAGGCUUUGAAUGUAUAAAAACUGAAUAAAUGUCUCGAUUCGGAGAUCGAGUGGCCAAGCUCCAACCUUAAAUGGUCUGAUGCAUUUUAAGCCAAAUAUGGAUUAAAUAAACAAUAAGAACUAGGUUGAGAGCCGUGAUUGGUGAAUUUGUUCAUCAUACUUGAUGAACAUCAAAACCAUGAGCUUAAAUCUUGGUUAACCAUUUAAUUUCUUGUCUUUUAAUUAAUGUUCUUUACAUUACAAGCGCUUUAUUAUUCUGCCAUUUAAUUUUAUACUCUUUAAUUUAAUGUCUUUAUAAUUAUUAUUAUGCUCACCCCUUUACUAAUUAAAUAUUGUACCUCUAAUAUGCAUCAUAUCUUCAUUUUCUGAAUAUUUGAGUGCUGGUGGUUGGGCAUCUAUGUUCUAUUAUUCUGUAAAUAUUAUUUGUCUUUAUGUAAAUGUUGUUUGUUUGGAUCUUUCAUUUCUUAUUAUGUUUUAAUGUUCAUUAUUGCAAAAUGUAAUGAGAUCUUACUAGAUCUCAAUUAAAGCUUUUAUAUAAUAAUUAAUUGGGUUUGAGAAAUUCGGAGGGGUGAGAAUAGAUUGUACAUUAGGAAGGAUUGUACUCUUUUCUCGUCCCCUUUUCUUUG